Molecule: ribosomal RNA, 500 nt
Filed under: uncultured bacterium
Lineage: Bacteria
Description: partial 16S ribosomal RNA
Rfam family: Bacterial small subunit ribosomal RNA
Source: RNAcentral
AUUGAACGCUGGCGGCAUGCCUUACACAUGCAAGUCGAACGGCAGCACGGGAGCAAUCCUGGUGGCGAGUGGCGAACGGGCGAGUAAUACAUCGGAACGUGCCCAAUCGUGGGGGAUAACGUAGCGAAAGCUACGCUAAUACCGCAUACGAUCUACGGAUGAAAGCGGGGGAUCGCAAGACCUCGCGCGAAUGGAGCGGCCGAUGGCAGAUUAGGCAGUUGGUGAGGUAAAGGCUCACCAAGCCUGCGAUCUGUAGCUGGUCUGAGAGGACGACCAGCCACACUGGGACUGAGACACGGCCCAGACUCCUACGGGAGGCAGCAGUGGGGAAUUUUGGACAAUGGGCGCAAGCCUGAUCCAGCAAUGCCGCGUGCAGGAUGAAGGCCUUCGGGUUGUAAACUGCUUUUGUACGGAACGAAACGGUCCUUUCUAAUACAAGGGGCUAAUGACGGUACCGUAAGAAUAAGCACCGGCUAACUACGUGCCAGCCGCCGCGGUAA